RNAcentral lists this ribosomal RNA (248 nucleotides) under uncultured bacterium. RNAcentral describes it as "partial 16S ribosomal RNA". It matches the Rfam family "Bacterial small subunit ribosomal RNA", at positions 107 to 353 of the family's 1533-position model. The record is from RNAcentral.
UGAGUAACACGUAUCCAACCUGCCGUCUACUCUUGGACAGCCUUCUGAAAGGAAGAUUAAUACAAGAUGGCAUCAUGAGUCCGCAUGUUCACAUGAUUAAAGGUAUUCCGGUAGACGAUGGGGAUGCGUUCCAUUAGAUAGUAGGCGGGGUAACGGCCCACCUAGUCUUCGAUGGGUAGGGGUUCUGAGAGGAAGGUCCCCCACAUUGGAACUGAGACACGGUCCAAACUCCUACGGGAGGCAGCAUG